UACAGAGGGUGCAAGCGUUGUUCGGAAUUAUUGGGCGUAAAGCGCGUGUAGGCGGCCUUGCAAGUCGGGUGUGAAAGCCCUCAGCUCAACUGAGGAAGCGCGCCCGAAACUGCAGAGCUUGAGUACCGGAGAGGAUGGCGGAAUUCCCGGUGUAGAGGUGAAAUUCGUAGAUAUCGGGAGGAACACCAGUGGCGAAGGCGGCUAUCUGGGCAGAUACUGACGCUGAGGUGCGAAAUCGUGGGGAGCAAACAUG
This 253-nucleotide ribosomal RNA is filed under the name uncultured bacterium. RNAcentral describes it as "partial 16S ribosomal RNA". It matches the Rfam family "Bacterial small subunit ribosomal RNA", at positions 524 to 776 of the family's 1533-position model. The record is from RNAcentral.